UGGGGUAUAUUGGACAAUGGGCGAAUGCCUGAUCCAGCCAUGCCGCGUGUGUGAAGAAGGUCUUCGGAUUGUAAAGCUCUUUAAGUUGGGAGGAAGUGCAGUAAGCGAAUACCUUGCUGUUUUGACGUUACCGACAGAAUAAGCACCUGCUAACUCUGUGCCAGCAGCCGCGGUAAUACAGAGGGUGCAAGCGUUAAUCGGAAUUACUGGGCGUAAAGCGCGCGUAGGUGGUUCGUUAAGUUGAAUGUGAAAGAACCGGGCUCAACCAGGGAAGUGCAUCCAAAACUGGCGAGCUAGAGUAGGGCAGAGGGUGGUGGAAUGUCCUGUGUAGCGGUGAAAUGCGUAGAUAUAGGAAGGAAGACCAGUGGCGGAGGAGACCACCUGGGCUGAUACAGACACUGAGGGGCGAAAGAGUGGAGAGGAAACAGG
This 429-nucleotide ribosomal RNA is filed under the name Pseudomonadota bacterium. RNAcentral's name for it is "Proteobacteria bacterium partial 16S ribosomal RNA". It matches the Rfam family "Bacterial small subunit ribosomal RNA", at positions 355 to 776 of the family's 1533-position model. Lineage: Bacteria; Pseudomonadati; Pseudomonadota. The record is from RNAcentral.